GAUCAUGGCUCAGGAUGAACGCUGACAGAAUGCUUAACACAUGCAAGUCUACUUGAUCCUUCGGGUGAUGGUGGCGGACGGGUGAGUAACGCGUAAAGAACUUGCCCUGCAGUCUGGGACAACAUUUAGGAAACGAAUGCUAAUACCGGAUAUUAUGUGAGUUUCGCAUGAAAUUCACAUGAAAGCUAUAUGCGCUGCAGGAGAGCUUUGCGUCCUAUUAG
This 221-nucleotide ribosomal RNA is filed under the name uncultured bacterium. RNAcentral describes it as "partial 16S ribosomal RNA". It matches the Rfam family "Bacterial small subunit ribosomal RNA", at positions 15 to 244 of the family's 1533-position model. The record is from RNAcentral.